CAGUCGCCGCGGGAACACGGAGGGGGCUAGCGUUGUUCGGAAUUACUGGGCGUAAAGCGCACGUAGGCGGCUUGGUAAGUUAGAGGUGAAAGCCCGGAGCUCAACUCCGGAAUUGCCUUUAAGACUGCCGAGCUAGCAGGUGAGAGAGGUAAGUGGAAUUCCGAGUGUAGAGGUGAAAUUCGUAGAUAUUCGGAAGAACACCAGUGGCGAAGGCGGCUUACUGGCUCAUACUGGACGCUGAGGUGCGAAAGCGUGAGGAGCAAACAGGAUUAGAUACCCCGGUAGUCCCUGUCUCUUAUAC
RNAcentral lists this ribosomal RNA (301 nucleotides) under uncultured bacterium. Its description in RNAcentral is "partial 16S ribosomal RNA". It matches the Rfam family "Bacterial small subunit ribosomal RNA", at positions 509 to 807 of the family's 1533-position model. The record is from RNAcentral.